UGCCCUGGAAACUGGACGGCUUGAGUACAGACGAGGGCGGCGGAAUGGAGGGUGUAGCGGUGAAAUGCAUAGAUACCCUCCAGAACACCGAUUGCGAAGCAGCUGCCUAGACUGUAACUGACGCUGAGGCACGAAAGCGUGGGGAGCGAACAGGAUUAGAUACCCGUGGUAGUCCACGCCGUAAACGAUGGAUACUCGCUGCCGGCGAUACAAUGUCGGUGGCUUAGCGAAAGCGUUAAGUAUCCCACCUGGGGAGUACGCUCGC
Molecule: non-coding RNA, 265 nt
Filed under: Hymenobacter glacialis
Lineage: Bacteria; Pseudomonadati; Bacteroidota; Cytophagia; Cytophagales; Hymenobacteraceae
Description: partial 16S ribosomal RNA
Rfam family: Bacterial small subunit ribosomal RNA
Source: RNAcentral